RNAcentral lists this long non-coding RNA (24325 nucleotides) under Solanum tuberosum (potato). RNAcentral describes it as "long non-coding RNA (STUB_LNC002064)". Lineage: Eukaryota; Viridiplantae; Streptophyta; Magnoliopsida; Solanales; Solanaceae. The record is from RNAcentral.
GAAUAGCUGAAGGACUCCAUUCAGGAUGUGCGCCUUUUAGCAUUGCUGCAAUUCCAGCCGCAUGAGGAGCAGCCAUUGAUGUGCCUGAUUUAACCUCGUAAUCAGUGGCUAAUGCUAUGUUCUGAAUACUUUGUGAAAAUAGAUUGGGUGGAACCGCUGCAAGAAUCAGUACCCCUGGUGCCAUAAUAUCUGGCUUUGCAAUUCCCAAGUAGCUUCUGGAGGGCCCUCGUGAUGAGGAUCCAGCAAGAAUUGGGGCUGGCCUUUCUCCAUCCACAUACGUUUCUUGGAAUGUUAUGGUGGCCGUGGGAGCAACACUGUUUUUAACGUAAUUGAUGACUUUUUUCCCUUCCUUUUUGUCAAUCACAACUCCCGGGUGGGAAAAAGAAGCAUCUCUGAACACUCCUGGAUCCUCAGAAAUAAAGAUGCCUGCUUUAAAUCUUGCUUCUUCGACGUGAGAAAUUUGACUACUGAAACCAAAACCAUCUUCAUCCGCAUUAUAAUCACAGAUGAUAAUGGUGCUUUCGGGAUCAGGAACUUGCGAUAGCAACUCAUCUGACCUGCAAGUGGCUAGAGUCUUGUUGUAAAUCACCAGAGAAUCCCUGACAAAGGCUCUUGCAGGAAACAAGCUCCACCCCCUAAUUUUUAAUCCAUUGCCCAAAGUCAAAGUUCCUGCAAAUGUCCGGUCGGUGUAGCCUGAUGCCACGCACAAUAUCCAUGGAGAUCCAUUGCCUAAACUCCCCCAACUUGGACCUCGAUUUCCAGCUGAAGCCGAAACCAAUACCCCCUUCAUCAUAGCUCCAAAAGAAGCAAUUGAUAUAGCAUCUUCAUACAAGGGAAUGAACCGGAAUCCAAAUGAAAUGGAUAUCACAUCAACGCCAUCCGCAACAGCUUGGUCCAUAGCAGCAACUAAAUCUGAUGUAAAAGUUCCUUCAUCAAAGCUGAACUUAUACACAGCUAGCCUAGCUCGUGGAGCAGCCCCUCUUGCCGUUCCUGCUGCAUAUCCAAAAUGGGAAACACCUUUCGCAAAGUUCCCAGCAGCAAUGGAAGCGCAAUGUGAGCCAUGACCAUCAGUAUCCCUGGCAGAGUUCAUGGAAAUGUUGACAUUGGGAUCAUUAGCCAAAAUUCCUUUAUUGAAGUAAUUAGCCCCAAUGAGUUUCUUGUUGCACAUAGAAGUGUUAAACUCUGUUCCAGGCUUGCAAAUUCCUUUCCACCUUUUGGGGAUUUCAGGAAUACCAUCAUCUCGGAAACUUGCAGAUUCCGGCCAGAUUCCACCGUCAAGAACACCAAUGAUCACAUCUUGGCCUAAACCAGAAGCUGGCCAUAGCCCAGAUGACGGAUUGAGCUUGAGGAAAUCAGAUGUGUAGGUAGUGUGAGGUUCCACAGUUCUAUCUUUAUAUGCUGAAACAAAACCUGGUAACUUUUUCAAAGCUUUCAGUUCAUCUUUGGACAAAACAGCACUGAAGCCAUGAAACACAUUGUCAUAGGAGUAAACAAGUUUUGGAGCAGAAUGGAACCUGUCUACUGAUGAAGGAACAGAAGCUUUGAUGGAAUCAAUAGUGGAAGAAUGCCAAUGAUGGUGAUCUGGAAAGACAUUAGGCAUUAAAGAUUUGUCCAAAUGGACAAUAUAAGUGGAUCUUUGUGCUAUAGCUAAGUAACAGAACAAAUGAACAGAAAUAAACCAUGAAAGGAAGAGAAGAUGAAGAGAAUAAGGAAACCCCAUUGUAGAUCUCUGUGUUGACUGAACACUGCAGAUUCAAGUGACUUUACAAGAUAAUAGAAGCAGCAUUUGGUUGUUGCAAUAAUAAAGAUAAGUUAAGAAAAGUGAAGAAUGAAAUGUGUUAAAAAGGGUAGUAAAGUAAUAAAGAUAGGCGGCUGUUGUAAGUGAAAUGAACCUAUUAAGUACUGUUUCUAGAAAGGAACCUAUAUGUCAAUUUUCAAACACGACCCCACUUGUUAUCCCAUUGAAAUCAGUGACAUUUUCAAUGCUAUAUUAAUCAUUUCUUGUUUUAUUUAGUAUUAUUUGAAUAAAUUUGUGAGGCAAGAUAUGACAGAAUCUUGUAUACUAAAUCAAAUAUAGUCUCUUUGGAAGAAAAAGAGAAGUCAAUAAUGAAGGCAGUUGCUUUCACUCUUUCUCCAUGUUACUGUAUAAGAUCUAUUUUUGCUUCUGGAUAAUAUAAAGAAUCAAGUGAUUGAGGUUUGCUCUUUUAUUUUUUCUACAUAAUCUUUUUUGUUCUAAAUUUCCUGAUAUUCUGUUCCCCAUUUGGGAAAAUAUGGUGGGGGAUACAUUUAUAAUUGUUACACGGGGUAGAGCUAGAAUACGGUUAAGUAACUAUGUUCUAAAUUUUAUAUUUGUAUUAAGAAAUUUAUUGAAUAUAUACUAAAUAUUAAUUUAGAACUUAAUAAUAUAUAUGAAUAGAAACUCCAACCUAUAAACAUCAAAUUCAUGCUCUGAAUAUUCGACAUGAUUUUCCCUUCAAAUGAGGUGAUCUUUAAUUUACCCUUCGCAUGGGUGAUUUUCAAUUUUUCCUCUUAGAAAUUGAAUUUAUGUCAAGUGGGGCAUAAGUCCUCUAAAGGCACGAAGUAUGACUUAUGAAAUAUUAUGAUACGAAAUUAAAGACUAGCACAAAAUGGGGCAAAAGUGGGACGGAAGGAGUACUGUUAUUUGUUUCUUUAAGAUAGUACAGACAAUUCAUACAACAUAUACAUUUACCAUUUUGCUUUCCCUUAGUUCUUGUGUUUUGGUACUUCCAGUUCAAGCAUAUGAUGGUCAUAAAGUGGCACGACUUAUUACCAGAGAUCAAUUAUGGGAGAUAUCACUAUAGGGCUCCUAACAGUAUGAUUUCCGUGCUCUUCAACCCAAGUGAUCGACCCAUAGUUCCAAUUGGGACCUAUAUAACGAAUUGUCAAAGUAUAACUUUGCUUCUCAUUUUUAUUCUUAUACACCAAAGUUUGUGGUGACACUGAAACUUUUGAGUUCUUGGGAGCUUUUAUCUUAGCUUUAUAAGUAGCUGCACCUUGACCAACAUUUGUGACUGUCCUCCUGAAUUUCUGCUCCAACCAGGUGUAGUUUCCCUCAUUGCUGUACAAUGCAAUGAAUGAAGGGUAAUUGAGAUCAGCUGAUGGAUCUGAGCAGUUGUGAUUGGCUGAUGAUCUUGCAAUUGUCUUGAAUUGCUCUUCUGUGAAAUUCAUAGAGCAUAAGAGAUUUACGUAAUCUUGUGGAGUAGCAUCAUAUACUAGGCCGGGGUCAAGGGCUCUGUUGGGAUUGACAUGCCCUGAUCCCAUGGCUAGGGGUGUGGCUUCCCUGUUAAUGUCAGAGUCUAUGAUUGGUUUUCCAGUGUUAUCCAAAGGAUCUGCCGUGGUCAUCAUAGCAGAGCGAAUAGCUGAAGGACUCCACUCAGGAUGCGCGGCUUUUAGCAUUGCUGCGAUUCCAGCAGCAUGUGGUGCAGCCAUCGAUGUGCCUGAUUCAAGAAUGUAAUCAGAGGAUAAUUCUAUGUUCGUCCCAAUACUUGUAGCAAAUACAUUUGGUGGAUAUGCUGCAAGAAUCAGCACCCCUGGUGCCAAUAUAUCUGGCUUUGCAAUUCCCAAAUAGCUUCUGGAGGGUCCUCGUGCGGAGGAUGCAGCAACAACUGGUGCUGGCUUUGCAUCUAGAUACGUCUCUUGGAAUGUGAUGCUGGCUGUGGGAGCGACGCUAUUUUGUACAUAACUGAUCACUUGUUUCCCUUCAGUUUUGUUAAUCACAACUCCAGGAUUGGGAAAUGAAGCAGACCUGAACACUCCUGGAUCCUCAGAAAUAAAGAUGGCUGCUUUAAGUCUUGCUCGACUGACAGUGCGCAUUUGAUCAGAAAAAUCCCAGCUGUCAUCACAUAUAAUGAUGGUGUGUUCGGGAUCAGGAACUUGUGAUAGCAAUUCCUCGGAAUUGCAAUUAGAUAGAGUUUUGUUGUAAAUCACUGUUGAAUCCAUAACAAUGACUCUUGCAGGAAACAAGCUCCACCCCCUAAUUUUUAAGCCGUUUCCCAGUGUCAAAGUUCCUGCAAAUGUCCGGUCAGUGUGGCCUGAUGCCACACACAAGAUCCAUGGAGAUCCGUUCUUUAAAGUUCCAGUAUCCGGGCCUCGAUUUCCAGCUGAAGCUGAAACAAGAACUCCCUUCAUCAUAGCUCCAAAAGAAGCAAUGGAUAUAGCAUCUUCAUACAUGGGAACAAAACGGGACCCAAAUGAAAUGGACAUCAUGUCAACACCAUCCGCAACAGCUUGGUCCAUAGCUGCAAUUAAAUCUGAAGUAAAGGUACCUUCUUUGAAACUAAACUUGUAAACAGCUAGCCUAGCUCGUGGUGCAACCCCUCUAGCUGUCCCUGGUGCAUAUCCAAAAUGGGAAACACCUUUGGCAAAGUUCCCAGCAGCUAUUGAAGCUACAUGUGUACCAUGACCAUCGGUAUCCCUAGCAGAAUUCAUCGAAAUGUUCACUGUGGGAUCAUUCGCCAAAAUACCCUGAUUGAAGUAAUUAGCCCCAAUGAGUUUCUUGUUGCACAUUGAAGUGUUAAACUGAGUGCCUGGCUUGCAAAUUCCCUUCCACCUUUUCGGGAUUUCAGGCAUACCAUCAUCUUGGAAACUUACGGAUUCAGGCCAGAUGCCAGAGUCAAAAACUCCAAUAAUCACAUCUUGUCCUAAUCCAGAAGCUUGCCAUAGACCAGAUGAUGGAUUGAGUUUGAGGAAAUCAGAUGUGUGGGUAGUAUGAGGUUCCACGGUUCUAUCUUUGUAAGCUGAAAUGAAACCUGGUAAAUUCUUCAAAGCUGCUACUUCAUCUUGGGACAAAACAGCACUGAAGCCAUGAAGCACAUUGUCAUAGGAGUAAACAAGUUUUGGAGCAGAGUGGAAUCUGUCUACUGAUGAAGGAACAGAAGCUUUGAUGGAAUCAAUAGUGGAAGAAUGCCAAUGAUGGUGAUCUGGAAAGACAUUAGGCAUUAAGGUUUUGUCCAUAUGGACAAUGUAAGUGGAUCUUUGUGCUAUAGCCAACAUAUGAGCAGAAAGAAACCAUGAAAUGAAGAGAAGAUGAAUACAAUAAGGUAACACCAUUCUAGAUCUUUGUUGUGUUGACUACACACUACACCUGCUUAAGUCACCACAGAUUCAAGUGACUUUAUAGGAUUAUGCAGUUAGCAUUUGGUUGUUGCAAUAAUCAUAUUGUAUGUCAAGUGGAGAACAAACUGAGUUAAAAAAGGUAGUAAAGUAUAGUAAAAUAUAGGCGGCUAUAGUGGUAGUGAAUGAAGCAAUUAGUAUAUCUGGUUCUUCUCACUAUUUCUAAUAUUGCAAUUUGCAAACAUGACCCCACUUGUAAUCUAAUGAAGUCAAAUAUAAUCUCUUUUAAUUUAACAAAGAGAGAAGUCACUAUGAUGGGUGUUGCUUCCACUCCAUGUUACUUUUAGAUUUACUAGUUGUAACAGGUGAGAUGAUCCUUUUGUCUUCUGGAUAAAAAUAUAAUGUGGAUCACAAGAGCCAAACUUCCCCAACUUGCUGAUGAGUCAGCUACUGACACUAAAAACAUUUCUCUACUUUGGAAAAUAAAUCCAACGAGAUUAUAAAAGAGAACUUGACAGAACCACUUAGGUAGAGAAUGAUCAAAUUUUCGCCUAAUACAUAAAUGUCCUUUAACUGGACCUCAACUUACAUUAUUGCUCUCCAUUUUUAAUGUAUAUAAGUAAACACUUAUACUUGUAUAAAGUUGAACAAAUAUAUACACGCAUCCUACAUGACAAUUUGAGUCUUACAUGGUAUUCUAUUAUGCCCACGUAGGACUCAUAUGUCUACGUGUUCAACUUUAUACAAAUUUAAAUGUCGGCAUAAAUGUGAAAUGAAGCAAAGUUAAAGGACACAUUUAUGUAUUAUGCCUAAAAUCUUUUUUUUAAAAGGCAUAAUACAUAAAUGUGUCCUUUAACUUGACUUCAUUUCACAUUUGUGCCAUUCAACUUUGAAUCUGCACGUACAAGUCUACACUUUAAUUUGUAUAAAAUUGAACAAGUAAACACAUGAGUCUUGUGUGACAUAAUACACGUAGGACACAAAUUGCCAUGUAGGAUGCCAUACAAGAUGUGUGUGUUUAUUAAUUUGUUCAACUUUAUAUAAAUUUAAGUGUCUACUUGUGCACACUCAAAAUUGGAGGGCAUAAAUAUGUAAUUUAAGACCAAAUUAAAAGAUAUAUUUAUGGUUAUGCUUUUCUUAAACUAUGCAAGCAAAAGUGAUGUCCACUAUACUAUUUUGGGAUGUCCAACAAUACUUGUCCACUUUAUGAAAUCAAUGGAUAAUUUUGCACUUAGUUCCUAAUUUACCCUUAUCAUUAAUUAUAAUCAUUUUCCUAUUACAUUUUUCAAGACAUUGUAUUUAUUAUAUUCAAGGGUGAUGUAGUAAAAUUACCCUUCUAUUGAUAGUUUAUUAAGAAGUGUGCAAAGUCAAUAUUGGACAACUAUUGUUGGACAGAGGAAAUAUUAGUUGAGUGAUCAUCUACUCUGUUCGUCCCAAAAUAAGUGUCACUUUAGAUUUUCAAGACAAUUACUCGAGUAUGUUUUUUUUUAACAAUACUCUUACAUUCCAUCUUCUUAAUAAUGUUCAAUUUUCAAGAGACAUUUAUUAAAUAUGGAUAUACUCCUUCUGUCCAACAAUAGUUGUCCACUAUUGACUUGACACAAGAAUUAAAAAGUAAUAAAUGAUAGGAGUAACCCAUAUUAAAUAUGGGAAGUGCUAAAUGGCCAGAAAAUUUUGUCCAGAAAAUCAAAAAAACUAUAAUAUUUUUUUUAUUUUAAAAUAAACUGAUCUUUUGUCCAUUUUUUAGUUAAAAGGUAUUAAAGUUAAAAGGGUAAAAAUGUUUAAAAGGGUAAAAUAACAUAGAUAAAAUAUCAUUUUGGCCAAAUUUUCUGGCCAAAAAGAUUUUUCCAUUAAAUAUAGGUCAUCUAAACAUAGAAAAAUGAAUAAUAUUUAAUAGUAAGGGUAAAAUAAACAUAAAAUGGUGGAGUACAUUAUUCAUUGAUUUUAUAAACUGAACAAAUAUUGUUGGAUAUCUUAAAAUAGUAUAGUGGACAAGUAAAUAUGAACUAAAAGAGUAAUAAACUAUACAUGAUAUUUAUUAAUUUCUUACUGAAUCUAAUUUUUAUUAAGGUGAUAUUCAUUUUCGGACGAAUAAUUGUUACUAUGGUUGUAUUCAUUUUCGGAUGAAUGGAGUAGUAGUUUGAUCAAUAGAGGAAAAUAUAUAAAUUAAAAAGGCACUCUCCAACCCUUGUUCCAACAACAAAUCAAUAAUGAAAAACAAAAAGAACAAUUGUGUAAAACUGUAAAUUAUACUAGUCGAGAGUAAUUAAUUAUAAAUUCAUUAAACCCAAAAAUAAACUUGAAAAGUAAAUAAAAUCUAGCUAAAAGUAACUUCUACCGCCCUCUACGAACAAUGUAAUAUAAGAAACAAAUAUAAAAAAUUAAAAGAUUGUUCAAGUAUUAAAAAAAAUAACGAACUCCAAUUUAUUUGAGACUAAAGAGCGAAUUGUUGUAGUCGAAUUGUGCAUGCAUCUUCUUUCAUUAGGCUUGGGAGUUGUUAUCGAACUCAUUUUUAUUAUUUGCUUCACAAAUUUUGAUUUUGCGUUUCUUGAUGAUACACUUGACGACAAAAAAAACCACAAAAACCAAGACAAAAGCAACACUUAGACCUUUAAGAAAUGGAAUGAGGAGACCAUGCCAUUUAUUAGCACCCCAAUCUUUCUGAUUUUCACCUUCGUAAGUAAUAUUAGUACUAUUAUUUCCAGGAUUCGACAUAUUGAAUUAAUUUGUACUAAGGGAAGAAUAUUGUAAGAAGAGAAAAAUUAUGUUGGGAAGAUGGGUGCGCCGCAUAUGAGAGGGUUGAAGGUAAGUAGACCUUUAUUUAUACGUGUCAUCUGUCUCUUAUUCGAAGAAAAAAUAAAUAAAGGUAAGGGGAGUAGGGAGGAUUUAUUUAGUAAAUUUACUUAUUAAUGAAACAUUCUCCUUUUUUUGGUUAUAAAAGAAAAAAAAAACGUAACUUUCCUUAUUCAUAUGUUUGCCUUAAAAUUUAUUGAAAAUUUUAGGUUGAGAGAGCAAAAGGAAAGAGAGGAAAGGGAAAUAAAAAGGAACCAUAUAUAAAGUAGAAAGAAAAAACAAUAAUGCUACUAAUUUGUAAAUAGUGUAAUUUUUUGGUAAGGUCAAAUAUUAGGGUACCAAAUUCUUGGGCUAAUUAACAUAGCUAUAGUUAAAAAUAUUUAUAAUUUGCACCUAAAAUUAUCUAUUUCAAUGUGUAUUUGCUUUCUAAGAAAUACGCUAGUUGGCAAAUUUGUCAACUAGCAUAUUUCUUAGAAAUUGUAUCUAUCAGUUUCUUCGGUUUUUCUUUUCUCUCUCCAAAUUAGUAUAACCCCAAAUUCAACAAUGUCGUGCUUUCUCUCUCUUGCUUCGACAAAGCUUCGUCAUGAAUGACUCAUGGGAAACUAUGAGAGAAAGCUUUGGAGCUUAAGUAUAUUUGCCCAAAUUAUUCUUUUUGUAUCAAUGUCUUUUAGUGUAUCUGCAACUAGUUAUAAAAUUGUAUCAAUGUACUCAAGUGUAUUAAUUUCUUGUUAAACAUUGUAUCUUGCAUUUGAAUAUAUAUGUUCAUUGUCGUACAUUUGUAUCAAAUCAUAUGUUCAUAUUUGUAUCAAAAUUCCGUUGAUUAUGGAAGAUAGCGAUAUCAGUUGAAUGUGAUUAUGCAAAUUUUCUUUUAAAAAAAAAAAGAACUUGUAACGCAAUUCACAUAUGUUAUUAAGGGUUGUAUUUGUAUUCAGAGCCAAUUUUUGCGAAUAAAUACAUUUGAUAGCAAGUUAUAAUAUAGCUAUAAAUUGUAAUUAACAAAAGAAUAGUUAAGAAGGCCUAUAGUUAGUUAUUUUUGAAAUUUUUCUCAAACAAAAAAUGUAGGCAAAUUGCUAUCAAGCAAUGUUGAAAUGACUCAUUAACACACAGACUUGAGAGAAGAGUCUUUCAUCAGAUUUACUUUUUCUUCUUCUUUUCAAUUUUUUUUACGUUUGUUUUUAGACGUUCAACCAAGUUUUUCCUUUAUUGAUAGCUUAACAUCUCUUUCUAUGAAAUUUUUUUUUGCACUAAAUUGAUAUUUUUGAUACCUAAGUUAGUGGUUUGAUGGGAGGAAAAUUGUUUAAAAAUAAUUAAGCAAAUAAAAUUAUUUUCUUAUUUCUAAUUAUUUAUGAUGAUCACACACUUAAAUAUAACAAUAAAUGUGCACAACAUGCACGUGAGGUUUUUGUUAAAGAAAAAUUAAAUCCAUCACCAAUAAAAAAUUUUAAAAAAAACAGAGAGAACAUCCACAUGUUUGACUCAUAAAAAAAAUCAAUUCAACCCAUAUAUGUAAGAACUUAAAUUUUUAAUUAAGAUGAUCAUACACUAUCAAUUUUAAAAAGCAUAAAUAAAUGAGUUAACUUGAAGUAGAAAAAUAAAACACCACUACCAAUAAUUUCUCUCACUCUUUUGACAAGAAUUUGUCAAUAACUACAUACCAAAGCUAUAUAUCGGCGUCGAGAUACUAGUAAUGUAAUAAAAGAAACAAAAACAUUGUCAAACUAUUUUUUUUCUUCCCCCUUCUACACUUUAGACGUAGCCUCAUCAUCACUAUCCUCUUUUGAUUCAUCAUCACUAUGAUUUGCCUCAUUAAUUUUGGAGGAAUUUCUUCUUCUAAAUCUGCAGAUGAUUUUACAAAGCAGGCAUAACACAACGACCCCUACAACACCCCAAAGGGCUUUGUUUGGAAUUUGCCAACCAUCAUCAUUGUUCAAUUUUGUGUUAUUUCCUGCAGGACUUAUAGCACUUGUUUGAAAAGACAUAUUCGAAAUUCAACUAGAAAAAAAAGACAAAAUUUAUUUUGUGUGAAGAUGGUAGGGGUCUAUUAAUAUUUUAUAACCCAAAGUUUUCCGUAUUCAUAAAAAAACAACAUAUAUACAUGACUAGUUGUGAUUCGAGGAAAAAAAAUAUAGAGAGAAAAGAGUAACUUUCCUUAUUCAUAUGCAUGCCUUGAGAUUUAUACAUGGAAAUUAGGUGCAAGGUGCCUUUAAAAGUGGAAAAGAUGAACUAUAUAAAAUUUUUUUUGGUUAAACGUUACUUUUCUAUUUUUAUUGGAGUGGUCAAUGUUAUGGUGCCGAGGUAAAAGAGGGAAUCGGGUAAUUUCAAUUGAAAUUGAGUAAUUUUGGUUGAUUUGGGGGAAAUCAUUCAAUUGAGGGGUAUAUUUGUUAUGUUUGGGGAAGACGGGUAUAUUUAGAGUCCUGUAGUAUAAUGAAGGACAAACUUAACUAAUAAAUUUAAAUAAUAGAAGGGUAAUUUUUACCUUUUCCCUUACAAUAACUAUGUUAAGCUUGUGGAAUUCAGUCACUCAAUUGGUUGGCUACCUAAACUUACACCUUAUUGGUGAGAUUCGAUUCUCUACAUUGUAAUCUCCUCCCGUUUUCCCUUCCCUACCCCGAAUAUUUUAUUUAAAAAAAAAAAACUAUGUUAAGCUUAAUCUUGAAACACAGACUGGGAACAUGAAAAUGGUGACGACAUUUUUGGGAUUUCACUGAUCUCAAACAUAAUAGAGACAUAGGGGAAAAAUCCAUCGGGAUUAUACUUACCGGUGUAUGUGUGUGAAACUGUGAAUGAUACAAUCAAUAUAAAAUGUCAAACACAAUAGAGACAUACCGGGAAAAAUCCAUUAGAAUAAAAUAACUUGUUGAAGUGCGCGAAUGAUACAAUCAAUAUGAAAUGUCACUUGUAGAAUCUGUUUUAUAUUUCUAUUUAAAACAAUUGUUUUUCUAAAAAAAUAUUUUUCAAAAGUUUUACUAGAACAUGAGAAAAUUGAAAAACAUUUCAAAACACUCUUAAUUAGUCUCAUAGAACUAUAGGACAUUAGAUAGCAUAACAUAUUCAAUUAGAGCACCAAUAACACAGGGUAAAAUAUUAUAUUACUAAUAGAGAAAUACAAAAUAUAUGUAAAAAAGAAAAUCAUAGGUGCAUCGUCGUGCAUUUGUUUGCUUAGUACAUCAUUGUCCUUGCACUGCAAUGUAAAAAUAAGGAAAACUAACAAUAAUUCCACUUUGCUUUCACAUCAUUCAGUUUUUUUAAUCUAGCAAUGCGAAUAUACUCUACUAUAUAUACAUGAAAAAUAAAUUACUCUAUGUGAGUAGUAAUACUAUUCAACAGAUUCGGAGGCACACGAAAGAUAAAUCCAAAUGACGACCAUUGCAAGAGGAAAAACAAGGAGGACGAAGAGAGAAGGUGGCUGAAUCGAACCGAUAAACAAUGGUAGAAAUAAAAGACAAAUCACCACGACUAACAUCAUCAACAUUGAACCAACUCCCCAUUGACAUUGCUCCAUUUCUUGUGCCAUUUUUUUUUCUUUUAAUUCUUUUGUUACUUUCAGAAAAUGUAAGAUAUAUGAAGAAUACUAGUAUAAUACUUAUAUGAGUAAUAGUCCCUUUAUAUAUGUAGUUUUCGAUAGUCAUGUUGUUUCACCAAAGGACGUGACGAUUAGUUUUAAAUUAUUACAUGCGGCUUAAUUUUUCAUUUUCACACUUUGUUUUGAAUAAAGUGAAAAAAGGAAAAUUUUGUAAAACAAAUGUAGGAGAAAUAUUAACCUUUUUCUUAAACAAGAGGGAAAUUAUAAAUCAUAUAUAAUUAAUGCUUUAUUAUGUAUACAUAUGGAUAAUUAAUAAGGGCAAUCAUCUGAUAAGGAUAAUGAUUAAACAAAAUACCAUAUAUUAAUAACUAACCUCUAUUAAAUAAUAUUUUAACUUUUUAAUUUAGUAGUACUAGUGCCAAAGUGUAUAUAAAUGAAAUUCUGUUUAUGUUUUACUCUUAAAUAUAGUUGAUGUGAUUAUUAGCUUACCAAUAGUUAAGUAACAUUUCACAUUUAAAUGAAUUUUUGGCACUUUUUUCAUUGUUCAAAGUUUAAGAUGGAUAUUUGAUUAUUUUUUUCCAUAUUUACCCUUUCCUUUAAUGAAUUUUAAUAUUUUCUAGGGGAUAAAUUGCAGUACUUACAAAAUUAUGUUUAUGAUUUCACAAAAGAUAAUAGUGGAAAUUAUGAUUUGAAUUCUAUCAUUGAAUGUUUUUCUUAAUAAGUAUACAUCACCUCACAAAUUCAGUUAAUAUGGAAUAGAUAUAUUCAAAUAAUUAUUCAAUCUUGGGUGUUUUAGGCGCGAAGUUGUUCCUAUUUAUUUCUAGCACAACAACUUUACAUUUAGCAUAUAUUAGUACUAUAUAAUUGGGAAAGGGGUCUGAAAAAUACUCUAACUUUGGCUGAAAUUAUUGUUAUGAUACCAAACUUUAUGGAAGAUCUUUUACCUCUGCACUAUUUAAUAAUGUAUUUUAAAGGUAUAUAUGUGCCCACAUGGACACGUUACUAUUUAUAAUGAUGCAAUAUUUAUAAUGUCCACGUGGGCACAUAUAUACCUUUAAAAUAUAGUAUUAAAUAGUGCAGGGGUAAAAUGUCUUUUACAAAGUUCGGUAUUGUUACAACAAUUUCUGUCAAAGUUCGGAUAUAUUUCAGAUUUUUUUCCUUAUAUAAUGUGUUUCUUAUUUCCCCCUUAGUCUUCGCUACCCCAGACCUCAAUAAUGGUAGAUGUCACUAUAGGACUCCGAACAGUGUGGUUGCCAUUUUGUUCAAUCCAAGUGAUCGACCCAAAGUUUCUACUCUGAUCACUAUCACCUAUAUAUCGAAUUGUCAAAUUAUAACUUUGCUUAUCAUUUUUCUCCUUGAACACUAGAGUUCGUGGAGACACUGAAACUGUGGAAUUCUUCGGAGUUUCUAUCUUCACUUUAUAAGUUGCUCCACCUUUACCAACAUUUGUAAGGGUCCUCCUGAAUUUCUGCUCCAACCAGGUGAAGUUCCCCUCCAGGCUGAACGGGUACAAGGCGAUGAAUGAUGGGUAGUUGAGAUCAGCUGAUGGAUUUGAGCAGUUGUCGUAAUUGGCUGAUGAUCUUGCAAAUGUUUUGAAUUGCUCUUCUGUGAAAUUCAAAGAGCAUAUAAGAUUUAUGUAAUCUUGUGGAGUAGCCUCAUAUACUAGGCCGGGAUCAAGAGCUCUGUUCGGGUCAACGUGACCUGCUCCCAUGUCUAGUGGCGUCGCAAUCAUGUUAUCAUCCUCUCUAAUAGGCUUUUGAGUACUAUCCAAAUGGUUUGCUGUGGUCAUCAUGGCGGAGCGAAUAGCUGAAGGACUCCAUUCAGGAUGUGCACCUUUUAGCAUUGCUGCAAUUCCAGCUGCAUGAGGAGCAGCCAUGGAUGUGCCUGAUUUAAGUUCAUAAUCAGAGGAUAAUUUUAUGUUCUGAAUACUUUCUGAAAAGAUAUUAGGUGGAAAUGCUGCAAGAAUCAGUACCCCUGGUGCCAUGAUAUCUGGCUUUGCGAUUCCCAAGUAGCUGCUGGAGGGCCCUCGUGCUGAGAAUCGAGCAAGAACUGGGGCUGGCCUUUCUCCAUCCAUGUACGUUUCUUGAAACAUUAUGGUGGCCGUGGGAGCAGCACUGCUCUUAACAUAAUUGAUGAUUUGUUUCCCUUCCUUUUUGCUAACCACAACUCCCGGGUAGGAAAAAGAAGAAGAUUGUAAACACUGCUGGAUCCUCAGAAAUAAAAAUGCCUGCUUUAAGUCUUGCUCGAUUGAUGUUAAAAAUUUGGCUAGGGAAACCAAAACCAUCUUCAUCUGCAUUAUAAUCACAGAUGACAAUGGUGCGUUCAGGAUCAGGAACUUGUGAUAACAGUUCUUCUGAUUUGCAAUCGGCUAGAGUCUUGUUGUAAAUCACCAGUGAAUCCCUGACAAAGGCUCUUGCAGGAAACAAGCUCCACCCCCUAAUUUUUAACCCAUUGCCCAAAGUCAAAGUUCCUGAAAAUCUCCUGUCAGUGUGGCCUGCUGCCACACACAAGAUCCAUGGAGAUCCAUUGUUUAAACUUCCAAUCCCUGGACCUCGAUUUCCAGCUGAUGCUGAAACCAGAACUCCCUUCAUCAUAGCUCCAAAAGAAGCAAUAGAUAUAGCAUCUUCAUACAAGGGAAUGAAACGGUACCCAUAAGAAAUGGAUAUCAUGUCAACACCAUCUGCAACAGCUUGGUCCAUAGCAGCAAUUAAAUCUGAUGUAAAAGUUCCUUCGCUAAAGCUAAACUUGUACACAGCUAUCCUAGCUCGUGGAGCAACCCCUUUUGCUGUCCCUGGUGCAUAUCCAAAAUGGGAAGAACCUUUCGCAAAGUUCCCAGGAGCAAUGGAAGCGCAAUGUGAACCGUGACCACUAGUAUCCCUGGCAGAAUUCAUGGAAAUGUUCACAGUGGGAUCAUCAGCCAAAAUUCCCUUAUUGAAGUAAUUAACCCCAAUGAGUUUUCUAUUGCACAUCGAAGUAUUAAACUGAGUGCCGGGUCUGCAAAUUCCCUUCCACCUUUUGGGGAUUUCAGGCAUACCAUCAUCUUGGAAACUCGCGGACUCAGGCCAGAUUCCACCAUCAAGAACUCCAACAAUCACAUCUUGGCCUAAACUAGAAGCUGGCCAUAGGCCAGAUGAAGGAUUGAGCUUGAGGAAAUCAGAUGUGUGGGUAGUAUGAGGUUCCACAGUUCUGUCUUUGUAUGCUGAAAUGAAACCUGGUGACUUCUUCAAAGCUGCCAGUUCAUCUUUGGACAAAACAGCACUGAAGCCAUGAAACACAUUGUCAUAAGAGUAAACAAGUUUUGGAGCAGAGUGGAAUCUGUCUAGUGAUGAAGGAACAGAAGCUUUGAUGGAAUCAAUAGUAGAAGAAUGCCAAUGAUGGUGAUCAGUAAAGACAUUAGGCAUUAAAGAUUUGUCCAAAUGGACAAUAUAAGUGGAUCUUUGUGCUAUAGCUAUGAAACAGAACAUAUGAGUAGAAAGAAAGAGAAGAUGAAGAGAAUAAGGAAACCCCAUUCUAGAUUCCAUAGCACUACACAAUACACUUCCUAAAAAUCACUAAAUUUUCAAUCUAUCUUAUAAAAUUAUGCAUAGAAAGCAUGAGGGUCCCUUGAGUAAUCAGUAGAGUUAGGUGGAGAUUAAAAUAAGUUAAAGAGGUAUUAUUGUAGUAGUAAAGGUAGGCGGCUUGUAUAAAAGUAAACUAUACCAAUUCUGUCAGCUUAUGUUCCUUUUGCUUCUAAAUAAUAUAUAUAUUAGUAUCUGUUAAUGAUUUUAAUAAGCAUUGUUGACUUGUUGAAUCAGUCAAAUGAGAAUUGAAAGAUUAGAAAAGGCAAAUGACCAUUCAGCACAAUUAUCAUUUUGGUCUGUAUUAGAAGAUAAAAUCUUAUAUUUUUGAGUCCACAAACUUUGGAUCCAAUUUUAUGUGAGGUAAAAAAUAAUCUCAUAUGAUCAGUAUCGGUGGUUUGAAUCACAAAAAUGAUUUGAACUUUGUCAUAAGUUAUCUCUUCUUUUUUUUCCGUUUCUAAGAACUUUUAUCUUUUGCUUUCUUGGUGACUCGAAUAUGAUAAUGCCAUAUUACUUCUCCAAUAAUUGUGGGCUUUAAUCAAAGGUUCCAUUGAAUAUUAUGUGAUAAGGCCAUAGACCUUUCCUCGUGGUCCCAAAUUUCAUCAAUCACUCAAAAUCAAUGAUGUAAUGGGACGUAUAUAAGAAAGGAAGAAAUAUUUUUAUCUUUAAAGAAAGAGAGAAUUCAAAGUACUAGAAUUAGUUAGAGAGGAAAACUAAAGAAGCAAUAUUCCUAGCUUAGUAUCAACUAUCACCAGAGACACCAUUGACCUUCGUCAUUUUGCAAAUGUUAUCGAGUUAUUGAUUUACGAGGUUGAUAUUAUGACUAUGAUCCUUUUGUGUUCGUCUCACACCUAUAUUUCUAUGAUAAUGAUAAUUGAUAAUCACAUAAACGCUUUAAUUUAUAAUUUCCAUUAUUAAACUAAGUAGGGCGUACUUAGUUAUAUCUCUAUCUUAGAUGCAAAUCCUCUCCCCGAUGUCCAAGGUUAAGAUCCUACUCUACUUAAUCCUCGUUCUAUCUCAAUUUCCCUCUCUUCCGAGUUCAAUACAAGAAUAUAGAUGUAUUAUACUAGUCUCGAAUGAGUGAAAUAGUAAAUUCAAGAUCAAAUAAACAAUGCAUAUGAUAAAUGCAGUUCAACUCAAGACGUAACAUCAUGGAUCAUAAUAUAUAGAAUUAGCAUGGUAUUAUUAACUCAACAUCAUGUUUAUUACAACGAAACUUCAACUACGGUAAACUAGUAUUCUCUGCACACAUAUUCAUUAGCUUGCCCUCAUUUGUUCAACUUUUCUGAAGCAAAAAUUUUUAACUUGUACAUUCACAUAGAAAGAAAUAUACAAGUUUUUUUUAUUUUUGUACUACAUUUCCCUUUAUACCUCUAAAACUCAAGAAUCUGAUGGCCCUAGUCAUCACUCACUACCCCAGACCUCAACAAUGGGAGAUGUCACAACAGGACUCCUAACAGAGUGGUUACCCUUCUCUUCAACCCAAGUGAUCGACCCAAAGUUCGUACUCUGAUCACUAUCACCUAUAUAUUGAAUUGUCAAACUAUAACUUUGCUUAUCAUUUUUCCCCUUGAACACCAGAGUUCGUGGAGACACUGAAAUUGUGGAAUUCUUAGGAGUUUCAAUCUUCACAUUAUAAGUUGCUCCACCUUUACCAACAUUUGUCAGGGUCCUCCUGAAUUUCUGCUCCAACCAGGUGUAGUUGCGCUCGAUGCUGAAUGGGUACAAGGCAAUGAAUGAUGGGUAAUUGAGAUCAGCUGAUGGAUUUGAGCAGUUGUUGUAAUUGGCUGAUGAUCUUGCAAAUGUUUUGAACUGCUCUUCUGUGAAAUUCAAAGAGCAUAUAAGAUUUAUGUAAUCUUGUGGAGUGGCAUCAUAUAUGAGGCCGGGGUCAAGAGCUUUGUUCGGGUCAACAUGUCCUGCUCCCAUUUCUAGGGGUGUGGCUACCCUAUUAUUAUCCCUUCUAAUAGGCUUAUGAGUAUUAUCCAAAUGGUUUGCUGUGGUCAUCAUGGCCGAGCGAAUAGCUGAAGGACUCCAUUCGGGAUGCACACUUUUUAGCAUCCCUGCAAUUCCAGCAGCAUGAGGUGCAGCCAUGGAUGUGCCUGAUUUAAGCUCGUAAUCAGUGGUUAAUUGUAUGUUCUGAAUACUGUCUGAUAUGAGAUUAGGUGGAAAUGCUGCAAGAAUCAGUACCCCUGGCGCCAUAAUAUCUGGCUUUGCAAUUCCCAAAUAGCUUUUGGAGGGCCCUCGUGCUGAGUUUCCUGCAACAACUGGGGCUGGGCUUCCAUCCACAUACGUUUCUUGGAACGUGAUUGUAGCCGUUGGAGAAACACUGUUUUUAACGUAAUUGAUGAUUUGUUUCCCUUCCUUUUUGUCAACCACAACUCCCGGGUAGGGAAAUGAAGAAGACCUGAAAACUCCUGGAUCCUCAGAAAUAAAAAUGCCUGCUUUAAGCCUUGCUCCGAUGACGUGAGAAAUUUGACUAGAGAAACCCCAACCCGCUUCAUCUGCAUUGUAAUCACAGAUGAUGAUGGUGCGUUCGGGAUCAGGAACUUGUGAUAACAAUUCAUCUGAAUCGCAAGCGGCUAGAGUCUUGUUGUAAAUCACUGGAGAAUCCCUGACAAAGGCUCUUGCAGGAAAUAAGCUCCACCCCUUAAUUUUUAACCCAUUGCCUAAAGUCAAAGUUCCUGCAAAUCUCCUGUCAGUGUGGCCUGAUGCGACACACAAGAUCCAUGGAGAUCCAUUUUCUACAGAUGAACCGCUACCUUCAUUUCCAGCUGAAGCUGAGACCAAUACUCCCUUCAUCAUAGCACCGAAAGAAGCAAUUGAUAUAGCAUCUUCAUACAAGGGAAUGAAACGGUACCCAAAAGAAAUGGAUAUCAUGUCAACGCCAUCCGCAACAGCUUGGUCCAUAGCAGCAAUUAAAUCUGAUGAUAGUGUUCCUUCAUCAAAGCUAAACUUGUACACCGCUAUCCUAGCUCGUGGAGCAACCCCUCUUGCUGUCCCUGGUGCAUAUCCAAAAUGGGAAGCACCUUUCGCAAAGUUCCCAGCAGCAAUGGAAGCGCAAUGUGUGCCGUGACCAUCAAUAUCCCUGGCAGAAUUCAUGGAGAUUUUCACAGUAGGAUUAUUCGCCAAAAUUCCCUUAUUGAAGUAAUUAGCCCCAAUGAGUUUUCUGUUGCACAUUGAAGUAUUAAACUGAGUGCCUGGCUUGCAAAUACCUUUCCACCUUUUGGGUAUUUCAGGCAUACCAUCAUCUCUGAAACUCGCGGAUUCUGGCCAGAUUCCACCGUCAAGAACACCAAUGAUCACAUCUUGUCCUAAACCAGAAGCUUGCCAUAACCCCGAUGAAGGAGUGAGCUUGAGGAAAUCAGAUGUGUGGGUAGUAUGAGGUUCCACAGUUCUGUCUUUGUAUGCUGAAAUAAAACCUGGUGACUUCCUCAAAGCUGCCAGUUCAUCUUUGGACAAAACAGCACUGAAGCCAUGAAACACAUUGUCAUAGGAAUAAACAAGUUUUGGAGCAGAGUGGAAUCUGUCUACUGAUGAAGGAACAACAGCUUUGAUGGAAUCAAGAGUGGAAGAAUGCCAAUGAUGGUGAUGAGCAAAGACAUUAGGCAUAAAGGACUUGUCAAGAUGGACAAUGUAAGUGGAUCUUUGUGCUAAAGCUAAAAAGAGAUGAGCCAAAAAAGCCCAUGGAAGCAAGAGUAGAUGUAAAGAAUAAGGAAACCAAAUAUUUCUUGAUCCCAUGUUCACUCACUACACUACACUUGUUAAGACACCAAAUAUUCAUUUGACUUUAUAGGAUUAAACAUAGAAGCAUAUGAGGUCCCUUUAGCAAUCAAUUCUGUUAGGUGGAUACUGAAAUGAGCUAAGAGGUAUUAAUGCAGUAAAUAUAGGCGGCUUGUGUAAACCAAUCAAAAACUUGAGAGGACCUUAGAUGUCAAUCUUGACUCUUGUUAUCCAUUUAAUUCGAUGUUAUUUCUUUAUACUGUAAUAUGAUUUUUUUAUGAAUUUCUUAAGGCAAUAAUCUUUCACCCUUUCUUCUUGAUCAUAUACCCCUUUGUGGAACUAGUAGUAAACAUUGGUGAAAAAUUAAACAAGUAGAUAUGUGUCAUUCUUUUAAAAAUAAAAUCGAACAAAUAGACAGGUAUUUUAUUUUCCUUUUCAACUAGGGGAUAAACCGCCAUAGAGUCCUUUUCAUUUUUUUGUGGUCCUAGGCUUAAUGAAUGACUCAACAUCAAUAAUGUAGUGGGACGUAACAGUGGGAUGCGGCAAAUCACUCAGCUUCUAAUAAAUGUUUUGAUAUAAACGUAAAUAAGAACAGCCGCCUCAGUCUAUCUUGGCAGAGUGUGGAUAAUUUUUAUCACCAUUUUAUCCACAAUCACAUCAUUACUAAUCAUCUUUGUCAUAAUCAUCAUUAUCACUAUGGUUAAUUAUAUAUAAUUACGUCGCUAACCACCAACCGCCAUCACUAACCACUUCUACCGCUACAGGCCAUCACUACCGCAAGUCACCUCCACCUCCACCAAAUUGUCCACCAUAGGACCUUUCUUCUACCACUAUUAAUCACAUUACCAUCACUGUGGUCAAUCUCUACUAUCAACUAUUUUCAUCAUCACAAUUAGUACGGUUGCUAACUGACAACAACAUAUCGUCAACUCAGUGGCGGACCUAUAUUGUGAAGCACCCACCACCUUUUGUAACAACAUUAUUAUUUAUGUACAAAAUUUAGUAAUUCAUUGAAAUAUAUUAAUUGAGCACCCCUUAUAUGUAGCAAUUUUCGAGCUAAAAAUAGUUGAGAACCCAUGAUAUAAAAUUUCUGGAUCCGCCAGUGCGUCAACUACCACACAUUCUCCAGUUACCAUCACGUUAGUCACUACAACAUCAGUCACCUUCUCCAUCACAACUAUCACCACUAUUGUUACUAACCACUAACAUAAAUCAUUACUAUUUACGUCUUAACUAUUUAGUAUCCAGAUCUUAAUGCAAUAUCUUAAUAUUCAGAUGUGUAUUUAGAUUCAAACCUCUAAAUCUUAAUGCACAUCUUAAUAUUCAGACGUGUGAUUUGAAUUCAAACAUUUUAAGCUUAACGAAAACAAAUAAGACCUAAAUAUUUUUGUAUUUUCUUCUAAAAGACAGCAAUCAAUUGUAAGUUGUAACAGAGCAGAGACAAAAAAGGGAAACCCUCCCCAAAAUCCCAAACAGCAUGCUGACAAGUUCUUUGCAGCGACUUCUCCUCACAAAUGGGUAAAAUCUUCUCACUUUUCUUUCUUAAACGUUCUUCACUAUUCUUUCUUAACAUGUUUUUUUUGUGUAUCAACAUUGUCGAUUUGGAUUGAUCAUACUUUAGGGAUAAAAGAAAUAGGCAAUGCCUUUUUGAUUGGACAAAAACUUUUAAUUCAGUAUUUAUGCAUAUAUAAUAUCCCUCUUAAUUCAAGAAUCUGGUCAUCACUAGCUACCCCAGACCUCAACAGUGGUAGAUGUAACUAUAAGACUCCUAACUGCGUGGUUGCCAUUUUCUUCAACCCAAAUGACUGACCACCUGGCUUGCCACAUCAUUACAAAUUUGGGUUGUUAACUCUUGAAGGUAUUUGUGAUCUCUUGGGAUACCGAUGAAGCAGUUUUGAUCCCAAAAUGUUACGGAGGGUAUAACUUAUAAGUGAUUUAUUUCGCAUAGUUCAGGGGUAAUUUUGACCCUUUUCCAUUUUUUUUUAGUUUCUUGUACUGAUUAACAUAACAUGGCUUUGCUUCCAACUCUAUAAGUGAGUAUAUUUGAACUUUUCACCAGUCAAAUCAAUAACAGGGCUGAGUUUUGAUGUGUUGAACAAGAAAAAAGACAAUCCUAAUAAAAUUUCAGGUGCAAGUAACGUAUGGAUAAUUAAUGUUUUAGUAAGCUUAUUUAUAUUUUAGAUAGUAUAACAGAGCAAAUGAUGAUAUAGCAACUAACAUAGCAAUGAUACUAGGAAAUAUGGUCCAAACGAAAAAUGCUAAAUUCGAAUGAACUAGUUGAAAAGCUGCUUCCGCCACUAUCAGCAAAGGCUGGUAGACCCUCAUCUUCUUAUUUUAUCGUUGUUCAUUUAUGCUAACCAAAAAUAUUUUAGUCUUUCUGCAAAUCAUACUCACUCAAACUUUCCUAACCUAGAUUGUUAGCUUCUUGGUUCUCUCCUUUUUUUGUGUGUGAAUAAUCAGAUUGUCGAUGAACCACCUUACUAAGUUGAAAAUUGCUUGUCAUUUUGUGGUAAUUCAUCAACCUAGGUUUAGUGCACUUGUAAUGUCUUAUCAGCUGUAUAUCUCCCAUGAAUCCAAUAUGUUGGCCUUCAUUGAGAUGACAACAUAAAUGCCUUCAAACGAGCAGCUUUGCUCUUUUCGAUAAGUUUUUUUCUUUAUUAUACUCCUACAAAUUGAAGUGUUCAUAUUAUAAAAGUUACUUCAAAGAUUUAGAAAGACAAGAAGUUUAUAUUUUAAAAUACAUCUCCUUUUAAAUGUGUAACUUAUAUUAUAUGGAGAAUGACUUGUUCCUUUCUAUUCAUCAAAACAAGAUACUUAUACAAAUACUAUGCUUAGGAAAACUAAUCAAAGUAAAUCAACUAAGAAUCUGCUCCUAUAAUUAAAUUAGCUAUAUAUGGAAGAUAUAAUAUUUACACCUAUUAUAUUCUAUAACAUUAAAGAAAUGCGAUAACAACUCAACUUACUCAUAUAAUAAAUUAAUAUAAUACUGUGGGAGAUUCUCUAACCGACAACCACCAUUAUGAGCCUAAGUNNNNNNNNNNNNNNNNNNNNNNNNNNNNNNNNNNNNNNNNNNNNNNNNNNNNNNNNNNNNNNNNNNNNNNNNNNNNNNNNNNNNNNNNNNNNNNNNNNNNNNNNNNNNNNNNNNNNNNNNNNNNNNNNNNNNNNNNNNNNNNNNNNNNNNNNNNNNNNNNNNNNNNNNNNNNNNNNNNNNNNNNNNNNNNNNNNNNNNNNNNNNNNNNNNNNNNNNNNNNNNNNNNNNNNNNNNNNNNNNNNNNNNNNNNNNNNNNNNNNNNUGGUUUUACAUCCAGCCCAAUCAGCAUCAGCAAAGCACUCAAUGUGAGUAUGUCCGUGGUUACCAUAUAAAAUGCCAAGUCCAGGGGAUCUUUUCAAGUAGCAUAAGAUCUGUUCCAAGGCUUCCCAAUGUUUGACUGUAGGUGCAGACAUGAAUUGACUAACAACACUCACUGCAAAAGCAAUAUCUGGACGUGUUACAGUGAGAUAGUUUAGUUUCCCUACUAACCUCCUAUAUCUCUCUGGAUCAUCAAAGGGGCUGCCAUCAUCACGGGUCAGAUGCACAUUAGGGACCAUUGGAGUACUACAAGGUUUGGCUGCGGACUUUCCAGUUUCCACAAGUAGGUCAAGGAUAUACUUUCUCUGAGAUAGAAAGAUUCCCUUCUUGCUUCUAGUUACUUCUACUCCCAAAAAAUAUUUUAGUUGUCCCAAAUCUUUUGUGUGGAAUUUAGUAUGCAAGAAUGACUUGAGUGAAGAGAUCCCCGAAUAAUCACUUCCUGUAAUAACAAUGUCAUCAACAUAUACCACAAGAAGAAUAAUGCCAAUUGUUGAUUGUUUAUAAAAGACUGAGUGAUCACACAUGCUCUUUUUCAGCCCAAAUUCCUGAACUACUUCACUGAAUUUGCCAAACCAAGCACGAGGGCUUUGUUUCAAACCAUACAAGGAUUUCUUUAGGUGACAAACUUUACCAUACUCCCCCUGAGCAACAAAUCCAGGUGGUUGCUCCAUAUACACUUCUUCUUGGAGAUCACCAUGAAGAAAUGCAUUCUUGAUAUCUAGCUGGUGCAACGGCCAAUUCUUAGAUGCAGCUAAGGAAAUAAAUAAGCGAACAGAAGUGAGUUUAGCCACCGGAGAAAAUGUGUCUGAAUAAUCCACCCCAUAAGUCUGAGCAUAUCCUUUAGCCACUAGUCAAGCCUUAAGUCUAGCCACAGAGCCAUCGGAUUAACUUUGACCGCAAAGACCCAUUUGCAUCCCACUGCCUUCUUUCCUUUUGGUAAAUCCACCAAGUCCCAAGUGUGAUUCUCAUCUAGUGCAUGUAUCUCCUCAAGCAUUGCAUUAUACCAUCCAGUGUGACUCAAGGCUUCCUUAACUGUCUUAGGAACAACGAUAGAGUCUAGAGAAACAAUCAAAGAUCUAGACAUAGAGGAUAAAUGACCAUAGGAAACAAAAUUAGCAAUGGAGUAUGGAGAUUUGCAACUACGUGUACCUUUGCGAAUAGCAAUAGGGAGAUCAAGAUCUUCUGGAAGAUCAGACGAAUGAGGAUCUGAUGACAAAGGGACUGGUGCAGAACAUGUAUCAAUGGCCUCUCGCCUCCUCGAGUAAACUUGUACAACCGGAGGUCUUACUACCGUAGAUGGUGCAGGAGCUGAUGGUACAGUAUCCGAUUGAUCCUCAAUAGAUGAUCUGAGAGAUGGAGGGACAAUAUUUGAUUCUUCUGUCAAAACACGGGUGACCUCAUAGACUAACCACUCAUCCUGUGGAAUUCUUAGGAGUUUCAAUCUUCACAUUAUAAGUUGUUCCACCUCUACCAACAUUUGUAAGGGUCCUCCUGAAUUUCUGCUCCAACCAGGUGAAGUUCCCCUCCAGGCUAUAUGGGUUCAAUGCAAUGAAUGAUGGAUAGUUGAGAUCAGCUGAUGGAUUUGAGCAGUUAUCGUAAUUGGCUGAUGAUCUUGCAAAUGUUUUGAAUUGCUCUUCUGUGAAAUUCAUAGAGCAUAUAAGAUUUAUGUAAUCUUGUGGAGUGGCAUCAUAUACAAGCCUGGGAUCAAGAGCUCUGUUUGGGUCAACAUGCCCUGCACCCAUAUCUAGGGGUGUGGUAGCAAGAACAGUGGAUGGCAUACGAUUAAUCAGAAGACAAGUCGUAGAGACUGCAUCUGCCCAAAACUGUUUAGGAACCUCAAGCCUGGGAUCAAGAGCUCUGUUUGGGUCAACAUGCCCUGCACCCAUAUCUAGGGGUGUGGCUACCCAAUUAUUAUCGUCUUUAAUAGGUUUUUUAGUACUAUCCAAAUGGUUUGCUGUGGUCAUCAUGGCGGAGCGAAUUGCAGAAGGACUCCAUUCAGGAUGUGCACCUUUUAGCAUUGCUGCAAUUCCAGCUACAUGAGGGGCAGCCAUGGAUGUGCCUGAUUUAAGUUCGUAAUCACUGGAUAGUUCUAAGUUCGUCUGAAUACUUUGUGAAAAGAGAUUAGGUGGAAAUGCUGCAAGAAUCAGUACCCCUGGUGCCAUAAUAUCUGGCUUUGCGAUUCCCAAGUAGCUUCUGGAGGGCCCUCGUGCUGAGCUUCCAGCAAGAACUGGGGCAGGCCUACCAUCCACAUAAGUUUCUUGGAACGUGAUUGUAGCCGUUGGAGAAACACUGUUUUUUACGUAAUUGAUG